AAUGAACGCUGGCGGCGUGCUUAACACAUGCAAGUCGAACGAGAAAGGGAUUGCUUGCAAUCCUGAGUAGAGUGGCGCACGGGUGAGUAACACGUAGAUAAUCUACCUUCAAGCCUGGGAUAACUAUUCGAAAGGAUAGCUAAUACCGGAUGAAGUGAUUUACCAUAAGGUAAAGCAUGAAAGAUUGCCUCUUCCUGAAAGCAAUUGUUUGGAGAUGAGUUUGCGGACCAUUAGUUAGUUGGUGGGGUAAAGGCCUACCAAGACUACGAUGGUUAGCUGGUCUGAGAGGAUGAUCAGCCACACUGGAACUGGUACACGGUCCAGACUCCUACGGGAGGCAGCAGUGAGGAAUUUUGCGCAAUGGGGGCAACCCUGACGCAGCAACGCCGCGUGAGUGAAGAAGGCCUUUGGGUCGUAAAGCUCUGUCGACAGGGAAGAAAUUAUAAUGAUCCAAUAGGUGAUUAUAUGACGGUA
This 474-nucleotide ribosomal RNA is filed under the name uncultured Desulfobacula sp. Its description in RNAcentral is "bacterial SSU rRNA". It matches the Rfam family "Bacterial small subunit ribosomal RNA", at positions 29 to 477 of the family's 1533-position model. Lineage: Bacteria; Pseudomonadati; Thermodesulfobacteriota; Desulfobacteria; Desulfobacterales; Desulfobacteraceae. The record is from RNAcentral.